AAUAAAAAAAAGAAGCAUCAUUGUAUUUUCAGAAAAGCUUCGUACCAGAUGCAUUUCAAGGCUUUGAUGUUGGUAUUCAGUCAUACGAUGUGUUUUUUAACCAUCAUUAGAGGUCAGGUAGAAAAGAACAUCUCUCAAAUCCUUUGAUCCACUAAUUGUUCUGGUGGUUUGUUCCUAAUCUUCAAGAAGAAAACCAGUUGUUGCAGUGCAGCUUUGGUAAGAAGUUUAUCAAACACUCUGGGUCCUGGAUAAAAGCCUGAGUCCUCCGUACACCGUCACACCGUCAAGAUGUUCGUUCUGAAGACUUUCCUUCUGCUGCUGGUUGCUGGAGCUGUGCUGGUGUCAGGAACUGCUCCAUCCACCGCCACGGAGGAAACUCAAACUGAAGCUGUACGGGCUCAACGUGACCUCUUCAACCGUG
Molecule: long non-coding RNA, 421 nt
Organism: Salarias fasciatus (jewelled blenny)
Lineage: Eukaryota; Metazoa; Chordata; Actinopteri; Blenniiformes; Blenniidae
Exons: 3
Source: RefSeq, a predicted model, not a curated record